Molecule: ribosomal RNA, 253 nt
Filed under: uncultured bacterium
Lineage: Bacteria
Description: partial 16S ribosomal RNA
Rfam family: Bacterial small subunit ribosomal RNA
Source: RNAcentral
UACAGAGGGUGCAAGCGUUGUUCGGAAUCAUUGGGCGUAAAGGGCGUGUAGGCGGUUUGUUAAGUCAUGUGUGAAAUCCCUCGGCUCAACCGGGGAACGACGCAUGAAACUGGCAAGCUAGAGUACCAAAGAGGGCGGUGGAAUUCCCGGUGUAGUGGUGAAAUGCGUAGAUAUCUGCAGGAACACCCGUGGCGAAAGCGGCGCGCUGGACCACUACUGACGCUGAGGAACGAAAGCUAGGGGAGCAAACAGG